RNAcentral lists this transfer RNA (69 nucleotides) under Pseudogobius fulvicaudus. Its description in RNAcentral is "tRNA-His". It matches the Rfam family "tRNA". Rfam says of the family: Transfer RNA (tRNA) molecules are approximately 80 nucleotides in length. The record is from RNAcentral. Lineage: Eukaryota; Metazoa; Chordata; Actinopteri; Gobiiformes; Gobiidae.
GUAGGCAUAGUUUAACAAAAAUACUAGAUUGUGGUUCUAGAGCUAGAGGUUGGACCCCUCUUGCCCACC